This 637-nucleotide ribosomal RNA is filed under the name uncultured Bacteroidales bacterium. Its description in RNAcentral is "bacterial SSU rRNA". It matches the Rfam family "Bacterial small subunit ribosomal RNA", at positions 68 to 695 of the family's 1533-position model. Lineage: Bacteria; Pseudomonadati; Bacteroidota; Bacteroidia; Bacteroidales. The record is from RNAcentral.
AGCAUGGUCUUAGCUUGCUAAGGCUGAUGGCGACCGGCGCACGGGUGAGUAACACGUAUCCAACCUGCCGUCUACUCUUGGCCAGCCUUCUGAAAGGAAGAUUAAUCCAGGAUGGGAUCAUGAGUUCACAUGUCCGCAUGAUUAAAGGUAUUUUCCGGUAGACGAUGGGGAUGCGUUCCAUUAGAUAGUAGGCGGGGUAACGGCCCACCUAGUCAACGAUGGAUAGGGGUUCUGAGAGGAAGGUCCCCCACAUUGGAACUGAGACACGGUCCAAACUCCUACGGGAGGCAGCAGUGAGGAAUAUUGGUCAAUGGGCGAUAGCCUGAACCAGCCAAGUAGCGUGAAGGAUGACUGCCCUAUGGGUUGUAAACUUCUUUUAUAAAGGAAUAAAGUCGGGUAUGCAUACCCGUUUGCAUGUACUUUAUGAAUAAGGAUCGGCUAACUCCGUGCCAGCAGCCGCGGUAAUACGGAGGAUCCGAGCGUUAUCCGGAUUUAUUGGGUUUAAAGGGAGCGUAGAUAGAUGUUUAAGUCAGUUGUGAAAGUUUGCGGCUCAACCGUAAAAUUGCAGUUGAUACUGGAUGUCUUGAGUGCAGUUGAGGCAGGCGGAAUUCGUGGUGUAGCGGUGAAAUGCUUAGAU